RNAcentral lists this unclassified non-coding RNA (273 nucleotides) under Hevea brasiliensis (rubber tree). Lineage: Eukaryota; Viridiplantae; Streptophyta; Magnoliopsida; Malpighiales; Euphorbiaceae. The record is from RNAcentral.
AGCACCCACUUUUCCUAUUGAACAAAAAUAAGAAUUAUUAGUAGGAUAAUUCAUCCCAUAGAAGGUCCUUAUGAACUCAAUACAGUACACUCCUGAAGGAAAGAUUAAAUGUGUAAUCAAUAUGCCAUUAAGCGAGUUCCUAAACAAUAUAUUGGUAUAAACAAUGCAGAGUAGUUUAAAAUUUACCUUAAUUAGUCUGACAAACAAAUUUAUGAGCAAACUCAUAACUAGGGCAUGACACGAAGGGUAUAUGACUUUCAUGUGUGCAUGCAG